This 722-nucleotide ribosomal RNA is filed under the name uncultured Fusobacterium sp. RNAcentral's name for it is "bacterial SSU rRNA". It matches the Rfam family "Bacterial small subunit ribosomal RNA", at positions 28 to 776 of the family's 1533-position model. The record is from RNAcentral. Lineage: Bacteria; Fusobacteriati; Fusobacteriota; Fusobacteriia; Fusobacteriales; Fusobacteriaceae.
GAUGAACGCUGACAGAAUGCUUAACACAUGCAAGUCAACUUGAACUUCGGUUUGGGUGGCGGACGGGUGAGUAACGCGUAAAGAACUUGCCUCACAGAUAGGGACAACAUUUGGAAACGAAUGCUAAUACCUGAUAUUAUGAUUUUAGGGCAUCCUAGGAUUAUGAAAGCUAUAUGCGCUGUGAGAGAGCUUUGCGUCCCAUUAGCUAGUUGGAGAGGUAACGGCUCACCAAGGCGAUGAUGGGUAGCCGGCCUGAGAGGGUGAUCGGCCACAAGGGGACUGAGACACGGCCCUUACUCCUACGGGAGGCAGCAGUGGGGAAUAUUGGACAAUGGACCAAGAGUCUGAUCCAGCAAUUCUGUGUGCACGAUGAAGUUUUUCGGAAUGUAAAGUGCUUUCAGUUGGGAAGAAAAAAAUGACGGUACCAACAGAAGAAGUGACGGCUAAAUACGUGCCAGCAGCCGCGGUAAUACGUAUGUCACAAGCGUUAUCCGGAUUUAUUGGGCGUAAAGCGCGUCUAGGUGGUUAUAUAAGUCUGGUGUGAAAAUGCAGGGCUCAACUCUGUAUUGCGUUGGAAACUGUGUAACUAGAGUACUGGAGAGGUAAGCGGAACUACAAGUGUAGAGGUGAAAUUCGUAGAUAUUUGUAGGAAUGCCGAUGGGGAAGCCAGCUUACUGGACAGAUACUGACGCUGAAGCGCGAAAGCGUGGGUAGCAAACAGG